This 660-nucleotide ribosomal RNA is filed under the name Vibrio sp. YBM23. Its description in RNAcentral is "bacterial SSU rRNA". It matches the Rfam family "Bacterial small subunit ribosomal RNA", at positions 28 to 667 of the family's 1533-position model. The record is from RNAcentral. Lineage: Bacteria; Pseudomonadati; Pseudomonadota; Gammaproteobacteria; Vibrionales; Vibrionaceae.
AUUGAACGCUGGCGGCAGGCCUAACACAUGCAAGUCGAGCGGAAACGAGUUAUCUGAACCUUCGGGGAACGAUAACGGCGUCGAGCGGCGGACGGGUGAGUAAUGCCUAGGAAAUUGCCCUGAUGUGGGGGAUAACCAUUGGAAACGAUGGCUAAUACCGCAUGAUGCCUACGGGCCAAAGAGGGGGACCUUCGGGCCUCUCGCGUCAGGAUAUGCCUAGGUGGGAUUAGCUAGUUGGUGAGGUAAGGGCUCACCAAGGCGACGAUCCCUAGCUGGUCUGAGAGGAUGAUCAGCCACACUGGAACUGAGACACGGUCCAGACUCCUACGGGAGGCAGCAGUGGGGAAUAUUGCACAAUGGGCGCAAGCCUGAUGCAGCCAUGCCGCGUGUAUGAAGAAGGCCUUCGGGUUGUAAAGUACUUUCAGUCGUGAGGAAGGCGGCGUCGUUAAUAGCGGCGUUGUUUGACGUUAGCGACAGAAGAAGCACCGGCUAACUCCGUGCCAGCAGCCGCGGUAAUACGGAGGGUGCGAGCGUUAAUCGGAAUUACUGGGCGUAAAGCGCAUGCAGGUGGUUUGUUAAGUCAGAUGUGAAAGCCCGGGGCUCAACCUCGGAAUAGCAUUUGAAACUGGCAGACUAGAGUACUGUAGAGGGGGGUAGAAU